UAAGACGAACCGUGCGAACGUUGUUCGGAAUCACUGGGCUUAAAGGGCGCGUAGGCGGGCUCGCCAGUCAGGGGUGAAAUCCCACGGCUCAACCGUGGAAGUGCCUUUGAUACUGCGGGCCUCGAGGGAGGUAGGGGCGUGCGGAACUUCCGGUGGAGCGGUGAAAUGCGUAGAUAUCGGAAGGAACGCCGGUGGCGAAAGCGGCGCGCUGGACCUCUUCUGACGCUGAGGCGCGAAAGCCAGGGGAGCAAACGGGAUUAGAUACCCCGGUAGUCCUGGCCCUAAACGAUGGGCACUAGGUAGUGGACUUGACAUGGGUUCACUGCCGAAGCAAAAGUGUUAAGUGCCCCGCCUGGGGAGUAUGGUCGCAAGGCUG
Molecule: ribosomal RNA, 376 nt
Filed under: uncultured bacterium
Lineage: Bacteria
Description: bacterial SSU rRNA
Rfam family: Bacterial small subunit ribosomal RNA
Source: RNAcentral